AUUGAACGCCGGCGGCAGGCCUAACACAUGCAAGUCGAGCGGAUGAAGGGAGCUUGCUCCUGGAUUCAGCGGCGGACGGGUGAGUAAUGCCUAGGAAUCUGCCUGGUAGUGGGGGAUAACGUCCGGAAACGGGCGCUAAUACCGCAUACGUCCUGAGGGAGAAAGUGGGGGAUCUUCGGACCUCACGCUAUCAGAUGAGCCUAGGUCGGAUUAGCUAGUUGGUGGGGUAAAGGCCUACCAAGGCGACGAUCCGUAACUGGUCUGAGAGGAUGAUCAGUCACACUGGAACUGAGACACGGUCCAGACUCCUACGGGAGGCAGCAGUGGGGAAUAUUGGACAAUGGGCGAAAGCCUGAUCCAGCCAUGCCGCGUGUGUGAAGAAGGUCUUCGGAUUUUAAAGCACUUUAAGUUGGGAGGAAGGGCAGUAAGUUAAUACCUUGCUGUUUUGACGUUACCAACAGAAUAAGCACCGGCUAACUUCGUG
This 484-nucleotide ribosomal RNA is filed under the name uncultured bacterium. RNAcentral's name for it is "partial 16S ribosomal RNA". It matches the Rfam family "Bacterial small subunit ribosomal RNA", at positions 30 to 507 of the family's 1533-position model. The record is from RNAcentral.